GCCACUUGCCCGGGGGCUUCUUGCCAGGAACUGAAGAAUCACCAGGAGGAAGAACAACAAUCGGAGGAAAAACUCCAGCCACAUAAGAAGUUAAAUGUGCCGCAACCACCAGUGGCGAAAUUGUGGACAUCACAGGAGCAACCACAGCCAUCACAGCAGCAGCCAUCAGUGCAGCCACCAUCACAGCCACCACCACAGCCAUCAACAUUGCCACAGGCACAGGUGUGGCCAGGGCCACAGCCACCACAACCACAGCCACCACCUCAGCCAACACAACCAAGUGCUCAAGCCCGUUGUACUCAGCACACCUCCAAAUGCAAUCUCCAGGAUUCCCAAAGGCCAGGUCACCAGCCUACUUCAGCGGGGAUCUACUAAGCUGGAGGGCAAUCUCUGUAUCAACAACAGAUUCCAGGGUCUCAUGAACCCAUGCCAAUCUAGCCCCAUCAGAAACACUGGGUAUUCACAACUCAAGUCUACCAAUUACAUACAGCAGUGGUGAUCCAGAGAUUGAACCCAGGACCCCAUGGCCAUCCCCAAAAUGCAGAUGAGCAACCACAUCUUCUCAGCAUCCAGCAAUAUCUCCACUCCAAAAGCCACCCACUCUAGAAGAGGAGGCUGCCAGGAAUAAAAUGUAAUUUUUUUCCUGGGAAGAAUCACGGGACCGGACAGCUUUAUGAGACAGGGAUGAGAGGAAGAGGGCAGGAGGACUCACGAAGGGGAUGGAGAGGGUGGAAAGAGAGUGGAAGGCAAGUUUAUGCUUCUCUAGGCAAAGCCAAUGGGAGAACUGGGUCUUGGGUCCCCCCCAAGUAUGCAACUCCUACUACUAUCACUACCUGCCCUCAUUCAGCAGUGAUAAGUCUGUGGGGGGCUUCAGUUUAUGACUGUCACUGGAGCCAUCACCC
This 902-nucleotide long non-coding RNA is filed under the name Homo sapiens (human). RNAcentral describes it as "non-protein coding lnc-LINC00854-1:28". Lineage: Eukaryota; Metazoa; Chordata; Mammalia; Primates; Hominidae. The record is from RNAcentral.